GGCUGGUCCAAAGGUACUGAGAUCUCACAACAAUUGCUUACAGUCCAUUACUGGUCAACUUAUUUGUCUACUCCCCCUCACUACUGCACUUGACUAGUCUUAA
This 103-nucleotide Y RNA is filed under the name Echinops telfairi (small Madagascar hedgehog). RNAcentral's name for it is "Y RNA (ENSETEG00000021995.1)". It matches the Rfam family "Y RNA". Rfam says of the family: Y RNAs are components of the Ro ribonucleoprotein particle (Ro RNP), in association with Ro60 and La proteins. The Y RNAs and Ro60 and La proteins are well conserved, but the function of the Ro RNP is not known. The record is from RNAcentral. Lineage: Eukaryota; Metazoa; Chordata; Mammalia; Afrosoricida; Tenrecidae.